RNAcentral lists this unclassified non-coding RNA (2169 nucleotides) under Anneissia japonica. RNAcentral describes it as "guanylate-binding protein 1-like, transcript variant X2". Lineage: Eukaryota; Metazoa; Echinodermata; Crinoidea; Comatulida; Comatulidae. The record is from RNAcentral.
UUUCACAGGCGCGCGAGCUUUAACCUCUGUUUCGAUCUGUCGACGCGACGACGAUACAAGCAUGGCGAGAGAACAAAUUUCGUGGGUUUGUGCUGUCAUCAUAACACUAUUAUUCUUGAACAGUAGUUUAUGUGCAGACGAGAAUCUGAAUUUGAGAGAUGAACCACUUCAGCUUGUCAAACCAGAUAUUGAACACAAACAGCUGAUUUUAAAUCAUGAUUUUGUGAAGACAUUGUAUCAGAUAGAAGGACCGGUAGCCGUUGCUGCCAUUGUGGGCAAGUACCACUCUGGAAAAUCCUUUCUUCUAAAUCAACUGAUGGGCAAACGUCAGGGUUUCGGAUUCAAUAUCGGACCCUUCGUCAAACCAGAAACGAUGGGCAUAUGGAUGUGGGGAAAGCCACUACCAGUGACAUUGUCCAGUGGUCAGAAAAUAUCAUUAAUAUUUCUAGAUACUGAAGGAUUUGCUGCUAACAAUGUAUCAGAACGUUAUGAUGCAAAGAUCUUCGCUGUGGCAACUUUACUCAGCUCCUAUCUUAUCUACAACUCUGUGAAGAUCAUUGACCAGGCUGAUAUGGACUACUUGGAACUUCUGGCAAGAAGAACACAGCUUUUUGCGCUUCGGUCUCAGAUGUCACGUGCUAAAUGGGCAAACGACUUUAAUCAUGAUCUUUUGACUUUCCCUCCUCUAAUGUGGGUGGUUCAAGACUUUGUCCAAGCGAUUGGUGAUGACAUGUCUCCAAAAGAGUGGCUUGAAGGUAUGAUGGACUCCUCGACUUGGGAAAGUGAAGACCAUAGGAUCAGUUUACUUGAUGUCUUUGAAUCUGUUAACUGCCACACACUCUUCUUUCCUGCAACAAAGAAAGAUCUCUUACAAGAUUUAUCACAGGCAAGAGAGGAUGAUUUAACCAUUGAAUAUAAGAACGAGCGAGAUAGUCUUUUGCAGAAAUUGAAAGACGGAAUAAUACCAAAGGGCAAAAAUGAUCGUCCAAUGACAGGCCCAGAACUGGCUUCAUUGAUUGACAUAUUGGUGACAGCAGCUAACGAGGGCUCCCUUGCACAGGUCCCUAGUCGCUGGCAUGGAUUCAUUCAAGACAUGAAACAGUCGGCUGUACAGGACUGCUUCAAGUUUUAUGACACUGACAUGGAGGUGCUGCAUGAGAAACACCAUCACGGAGCGAUCAAUGAACAGGAACUUGAGCAGUGGCAUCAGCAGGCUCAUAGAAAGACGUUGAAGCUUCUGCAACAAGUUCUUUUUGGAUUGGAAACUAUAUUUGAAGAAUCUUCAAAAGAAAUGAAUGUAACGAUACAGGAACACUUUGAGAAGACAUACGAAAUGAAUGAAAAGAAAAUCAAGCUACGUUGUGGAGAAAUACAACACAGACAAGAGCUGUCUGUUGAAGAAGCUUUGGCCCAGCUUUCACUACCUGUGCUGACUUCGCAGAUGAUGAGCACUUACAAUGAAGCACUAGCUGGCUGUAUUACAGGAUAUGCUGAACUUUUGGAACCACUGAAGGAAACGACUGCCUACAGGAAACACCUUAACCAACUCAAGGCUUCUGCGGAAAAUAUGAAGAAUUCCUAUCUUUUCAAGAAUUCAAAGGCAAUAGAAGCUAUGUUUGAAAAAGCCAGUGAACUUUCCAGUGCGGAAUUUAAAGUGCUGACUACACACCCUACCAACGAUCCAAUUAUACCACAUGACCUUAAAAGGUUAUUUAAGAGAGGUGCGGAGAAAGCAUUGGAUAGCUUCCAGAGGUCCACAGAAUACUUUAAUGAGGAGAGAGACUACAAAAUGUAUUUGAAAGUGGUUCAGACUGGCUUUACAGAGAUCGAGAGAGAAUGUGAACUAAGGAAUAAUUACCUGUUGAAAAGUGCAUUAGACUCUAAGAUUCAUGAUCUAACAGAGCUGAUGAAAGCAAACACCAAUAGUACAAAGAUCUCUUUACCAAUGAAUGACACUGAGCUUGAUCAAAUGAUGACUUCAGAGAUUUACCUGCUUUCCAAGAGGGCAUAGUUCUAUUAACAAAAUCCUUACACCAUGUAUGUGGUACAAGGCGACAAGAAAAUAUGGCUGCUUACCAACAUGAGGUUGGUGUCCCCCUCGAUAUGGCCAAGAGAAUAGCGCUGUUGUCAGCUGACCGGUAUGACACAGUAUUUAGCAUAACACUUUAU